UUCUACAGUGCGGAGAUCAGGCAAUUUCUCUCUCUGCUCUUGCUUUGAACUCUUCUGUUGGUAUUGUUGGUUUUGCUGCUCUAUUUCUUGUCAGUA
Long non-coding RNA from Chiroxiphia lanceolata (lance-tailed manakin), 96 nucleotides. RefSeq lists it as uncharacterized. Lineage: Eukaryota; Metazoa; Chordata; Aves; Passeriformes; Pipridae. The transcript is spliced from 3 exons. The record is from RefSeq and is a predicted model, not a curated record.